GACGAACGCUGGCGGCGUGCUUAACACAUGCAAGUCGAACGGAAAGGCCCUGCUUUUGUGGGGUGCUCGAGUGGCGAACGGGUGAGUAACACGUGAGUAACCUGCCCUUGACUUUGGGAUAACUUCAGGAAACUGGGGCUAAUACCGGAUAGGAGCUCCUGCUGCAUGGUGGGGGUUGGAAAGUUUCGGCGGUUGGGGAUGGACUCGCGGCUUAUCAGCUUGUUGGUGGGGUAGUGGCUUACCAAGGCUUUGACGGGUAGCUGGCCUGAGAGGGUGACCGGCCACAUUGGGACUGAGAUACGGCCCAGACUCCUACGGGAGGCAGCAGUGGGGAAUAUUGCACAAUGGGCGGAAGCCUGAUGCAGCAACGCCGCGUGCGGGAUGACGGCCUUCGGGUUGUAAACCGCUUUCGCCUGCGACGAAGCGUGAGUGACGGUAAUGGGUAAAGAAGCACCGGCUAACUACGUG
Molecule: ribosomal RNA, 468 nt
Filed under: uncultured bacterium
Lineage: Bacteria
Description: partial 16S ribosomal RNA
Rfam family: Bacterial small subunit ribosomal RNA
Source: RNAcentral